GAUCUCAGACAAGUUGUGAUUUUUAUCACUUUGUAUAUAUCGGGGGAUCGUGAAGAUUUUAUCGGUGAGGAUUUGCUCUCGGAAGGGCAAUGAUGAAUUUUGAAUAAUCGGACAUAGUACGAUAAGGUUGUAUGUCUAAAGGGAAACAGCCCAGAACAAGUGUUAAGGUUCCAAAAUUAUUGUUAAGUGAAAAUAAGGAAGUUUUUUUCGUAUACAACCAGGAAAUAGGCUUAGAAGCGGCCAUUUUUUGAAGAUCUCGUAACAGAGCACUGGUUUAUUUUUUAGUUAAAAGCACCAAAAAUUUAACGGAUCUAAACAAUAUACCGACACCUUGUCCAUAGAUAAGUUAAAAUAUCUAUGGGGUAGCGGAAAGUUGGGCAUGUCUUAGAUUUAAUCUUUUCAAGAUUGAAUAAUAGAUUAUUUAUUAAAAAAGAUAAAUUUACAUGUAGAUAGCGCAAAGCGGAAGAAACAUGUGUAUAAUCUAGAGAUUACCCCAAGUGAGAAUGCUGGCAUGAGUAACGAAAAAGGGAUAUCCCCUCGCCUUAAGCUUAUGGUAUAAAGAAAGUAACGGCCUCUAAGUUUAUUAAAUUAUCCUAAAGGAUUGAACGAUGAGAAAAUCUUUACAUAUUUAACAACUUUAUCAAAUUAAUUAAAUAAAAAUUUAAAAGUGGAUAAAGUUCUGGAAAAAAAAUAUGAAUUAAACCGUACCUAGAAACUAACACAAGNAAGCGAGUAGAGUAUACGAAGGCGUUUGNGCUAACACUCAUUAAGGACUGAU
RNAcentral lists this ribosomal RNA (778 nucleotides) under Microxiphium citri. RNAcentral's name for it is "Microxyphium citri partial large subunit ribosomal RNA". It matches the Rfam family "Bacterial large subunit ribosomal RNA", at positions 913 to 1716 of the family's 2925-position model. The record is from RNAcentral. Lineage: Eukaryota; Fungi; Ascomycota; Eurotiomycetes; Chaetothyriales; Coccodiniaceae.